AGGCUGUGGUGGGGCACUGGCUU
Molecule: microRNA, 23 nt
Filed under: Bovine leukemia virus
Lineage: Riboviria; Pararnavirae; Artverviricota; Revtraviricetes; Ortervirales; Retroviridae
Description: BLV-miR-B1-5p
Source: RNAcentral